This 1002-nucleotide ribosomal RNA is filed under the name Demequina sp. CR-34. RNAcentral describes it as "bacterial SSU rRNA". It matches the Rfam family "Bacterial small subunit ribosomal RNA", at positions 56 to 1070 of the family's 1533-position model. Lineage: Bacteria; Bacillati; Actinomycetota; Actinomycetes; Micrococcales; Demequinaceae. The record is from RNAcentral.
UGCAAGUCGAACGGUGAAGCGAGAGCUUGCUCUCGUGGAUCAGUGGCGAACGGGUGAGUAACACGUGAGUAACCUGCCCCAGACUCUGGGAUAAGCCUUGGAAACGAGGUCUAAUACCGGAUACGAGACGAGAUCGCAUGGUCAUCGUCUGGAAAGAAUUUCGGUCUGGGAUGGACUCGCGGCCUAUCAGCUUGUUGGUGAGGUAAUGGCUCACCAAGGCGACGACGGGUAGCCGGCCUGAGAGGGCGACCGGCCACACUGGAACUGAGACACGGUCCAGACUCCUACGGGAGGCAGCAGUGGGGAAUAUUGCACAAUGGGCGCAAGCCUGAUGCAGCGACGCCGCGUGGGGGAUGAAGGCCUUCGGGUUGUAAACCCCUUUCAGCAGGGAAGAAGCGAAAGUGACGGUACCUGCAGAAGAAGCGCCGGCUAACUACGUGCCAGCAGCCGCGGUAAUACGUAGGGCGCAAGCGUUGUCCGGAAUUAUUGGGCGUAAAGAGCUCGUAGGCGGUCUGUCGCGUCUGCUGUGAAAACCCGAGGCUCAACCUCGGGCCUGCAGUGGGUACGGGCAGACUAGAGUGUGGUAGGGGAGACUGGAAUUCCUGGUGUAGCGGUGGAAUGCGCAGAUAUCAGGAGGAACACCAAUGGCGAAGGCAGGUCUCUGGGCCACUACUGACGCUGAGGAGCGAAAGCAUGGGGAGCGAACAGGAUUAGAUACCCUGGUAGUCCAUGCCGUAAACGGUGGGCACUAGAUGUGGGGCUCUUUCCAUGAGUUCCGCGUCGCAGCUAACGCAUUAAGUGCCCCGCCUGGGGAGUACGGCCGCAAGGCUAAAACUCAAAGGAAUUGACGGGGGCCCGCACAAGCGGCGGAGCAUGCGGAUUAAUUCGAUGCAACGCGAAGAACCUUACCAAGGCUUGACAUAUACCCUUUAUCCCUAGAGAUAGGGAGUCCUUCGGGGGGGUAUACAGGUGGUGCAUGGUUGUCGUCAGCUCGUGUCGUGA